GUGUCAGCAGCCGCGGUAAGACGUAGGGCGCGAGCGUUGUCCGGAUUUAUUGGGCGUAAAGAGCUCGUAGGCGGCUUGUCGCGUCGACCGUGAAAACUUGGGGCUCAACCCCAAGCCUGCGGUCGAUACGGGCAGGCUAGAGUUCGGUAGGGGAGACUGGAAUUCCUGGUGUAGCGGUGAAAUGCGCAGAUAUCAGGAGGAACACCGGUGGCGAAGGCGGGUCUCUGGGCCGAUACUGACGCUGAGGAGCGAAAGCGUGGGGAGCGAACAGGAUUAGAUACCCUGGUAGUCCACGCUGUAAACGUUGGGCGCUAGGUGUGGGGGGCCUCUCCGGUUCCCUGUGCCGCAGCUAACGCAUUAAGCGCCCCGCCUGGGGAGUACGGCCGCAAGGCUAAA
RNAcentral lists this ribosomal RNA (396 nucleotides) under uncultured bacterium. RNAcentral describes it as "bacterial SSU rRNA". It matches the Rfam family "Bacterial small subunit ribosomal RNA", at positions 505 to 898 of the family's 1533-position model. The record is from RNAcentral.